UCCACAUCAGGCACCACGUGGGCCUUGUCCUCAUCCUGCAGAGACACUGAUGUUUGGCUGCAGAACAGUUGGACUGUAGCAUUGGCUCUGAUGGACUUGGACAUCUCCAAACUGCUGGCCCUUGACAGAGGGGAGAUUGGCGCAGCUCUGAACACACUUUUUGUGAUGGCUGAUUGGUGGCCACCUUGUGGUCAUAGUAAGUGAAGACAGCCAGGUCUCUAGUAAUGAAGCCCAGCCCACAGCAACAAGUAUCCCAUUGGAGGGGGCAUUGUCAGGGCAGACACAGUGGUAGGGUCAAUGCAUUUCCCAGCCACCUCUGGGUAUCAGGGUGUUCAGAUCACAGUUCUACUGCAGCCCACAGACUUCUCCAGAUGGUCUCUACUAGAUACUACAAGCCCACCCUGAAGAUGGAGGCCCUGCUUGGUGUCCCUACCCAGGAUGCCCCAGAAAACCUCCCUGGAAAAGCUGAGACUUGUCCCUUCAUGAGCAGCGCCAGAUGAUGUCAGAAGCCUCUAGAAUUUGAUUUUCUUUCUUGUGGUGCCGCUCUCCUGGAGAUGCCAAAUCGGGCUCUCAAAACCCAAAUAAUCAGAAUGCAAAGAUGGUGGUGGUGCAUGAAGCCGGGCCUGUGAAGACUAGAUGCCUUUGGUUGAUGAUCUGCAGCAGCUCAUCCCUCUUCAUGGACAUCCUGACCAGGGGAGCUCAAGCUCCUACCUGGAUCCUGGUGUUUGGGGCUUUUGGAGAUGGGUCAGGAUCUCCCCUCAUUUGCUGCUGCCCUGCACUUGGAUGCUGGGUUGAAAGCCCUUUGAAGGGCCUGGCACUCUCCAUGGCAGGAACAGUCUGAAAAGGAAGAUGGAAUUCCAUUUCCUACCUUUCAGGGUGUGAUGUCUGACUCAAGGGAAAGCUAGACUCUGAGAAGCAGGAGAAUCUCAUCAGGAUGAGUUUUCUAGACUUGAUUUGGGGAGUGGUGAUGGAGGGACAGACAAGUUAAGGAAAAGGUAUCUAUAAUGGAGAAUGAAAAUGCAGCUUGGACAUCCUUCUCCAGAGUCUAACCUCCUAAGUUCUGCCAGACCUUCUCCCUCUUCACCCUGUCAGAGCUGCCUAUAGGCUACAACCAGUGCCCAGGCCUAGUAUGGCUAUCAUUGUCUGCACCACAACAAACCUUUAAGAUUC
Long non-coding RNA from Mesocricetus auratus (golden hamster), 1170 nucleotides. RefSeq lists it as uncharacterized. The transcript has 6 exons. The record is from RefSeq and is a predicted model, not a curated record. NCBI's taxonomy places the organism in Eukaryota, Metazoa, Chordata, Mammalia, Rodentia, Cricetidae.